Empidonax traillii (willow flycatcher) is the source of this 313-nucleotide non-coding RNA. The record is from the annotation of a RefSeq genome assembly. Lineage: Eukaryota; Metazoa; Chordata; Aves; Passeriformes; Tyrannidae.
AUGUCGUGGUUGCCGAAUCCCCUGUGGCUCCUCUGCCACCCCUCCGGCUUCACCUUCGGCGACUACACCAUGUACUGGGUGCGCCAGAGCCCCAGGAAGGGGCUGGAAUAUGUUGCUGGGAUCAGCUAUAGUGGUCGUUACACCACCUACGGGCCGUCGGUGAAGGGUCGGUUCAGCAUGGCCAGGGACAACGGGCAGAGCUCGGUGACGCUGCAGAUGAACAACCUCAGGGACGAGGAUUCCGCCACCUAUUUCUGCACCAGGGGUGAUGAUAAUGCUGCUUAUUAUGCUGGAGGUUUUCCUGACCACCUUU